CCCGCUUAGUUCCCGGAUAAAAGCAGCCCGGCCGCACCUGCCUUGCCAGUGCAAACUCUGCAAGACUCCCAACGCCAUCAGCCCUAGUCUGAUUGCAGUCGCCUGUUCACAGCCCCGAAUCAUUCACAGCGCCAAUUAGCCCGGGCUGGGUCCUCCGGCAGAGCGGGGGCGAGCGCGCGGGAGUCCAUUUCCAGCGCCCUGACGCCAGCUGAGUCCCGCGCCCGGUAACGCGGGCUUUCAAGGGCAAGGCCGCCGCCGCGUCCCUCCGUGUCAGCGCAUUUCCCUUUCUUCCCCGCUUCAAGAACAACUGAAGUGUGGGUAGGAGAGCCAUUUAGUCCCAACUAAAGACGAAAAUGUUUUUUCCUUCUGAUAAUGUUCCCUGUUCCGUCACUCGGUAUUAUGCUCCAUAAUGUGCCGCGUGCAGCCAUUUUGUCAUCGCUUUGGGUCAUCCUUGCUCACAAUUGGUUAUUUACUCAGGGGCUUUUGAAAUUAUUGAGUUGACACAUCUGUCAGACGGCAAAAGCAGAAAUGCUAAAAGGUCACUUGGAGAGAAACCAGCUGCUCCAGACAAACCUUUCUGCCUCCAAAUAGCACAAUCAUUACAGCCUGGCAGAUGGGGCCUUCGCUUUCACUUCAGACGCUCCCCUUGCCUUCAGGAAACCAGUUUCCUCACGGAUAUGAGCUACCCAACGCUUGCCACAAACUUUCCUGUUAACAGAUUCGUUUUGACAGUGAAAGCAACAGCCCACAAUUGCCUGCAUUUUCUUUCCUCUUCAAAACCACUUCUGCUCCAAAGACCAUGAACCUGAACUGAAGAAACGACUCCUUCCUGCUGGUGUGAGAUAAUUCAGUCUCCAUGAUGUCUUAAUCCUGGGCCUCCCUUAAUUGACUUCUAACUGUGCUGAACUGUGGCUGCUAGGAGUUGCAAUGUGGAUCGCAAUUUACAAGGAAGAGAAAAAGACCGGUCUCUGUUUGGAAAUUACAAACAUAGAAGAACUUAGAAACAAUGGGUUUCUAGAUUGGGUGGAAGGACUGGCUUGGGAUCCUGAGAGAGCAAGAAAAGUUUACCGGGAGCUUCAGAAAAAGUUAUUCAUCAUUUUUGGAGUGGAUAUUCAGAAGUGACUUCCCUCUUUUGCUCUGGCAUUGAUGCAUUCACAUCAAUGGUGAAUUCAGACUUCAGAAGAACUGACCCAAGGACAAAGGUCCACCCAGGCCAUGGAAGAGGCUCCUCAACCGUUUGGGUGCCUGGCUACUUCAAGAGUUGAGCUAAUCACAGGGAAGAUUCAGUCUCAGUUCAGCUGCCUCAUUUGAUCAGCUCAAGACUGAGUCCAACAAAAGUGGUCUGUCUAAUGAAACUCAUUUUCAUUUUUUCUCAUUAGUCUAUACACGAUUGAGACUGUAGAACGACAAAAGAAUAAAAAGAAGAAUGACAAUUAAAAAUCAUUUUCUCUGGCCCUUGAUUUUUGCCUUCUUUUUUUUAAAUGUAGUUACGUGCUCAUUUUUUGUUUCUUUUUUAUUCUCUGCUCUUCUUUUCUAUUGAUUUUCCCAUUUAUGAAGGGGGAAUUAGUAAAUCCAUGGUCUGAGUGCUGAGAUGUUCUGAUAGGCCUUCAAGUUUUCAGCUGUACUCUGAAUCAGAAUAAUAUACUCCAUCAAGGAGACUGACAUUGGCACCACCUUCCCAGAAAUCCAGGAGCGCCUUUGCAUGAGGAAAAGCAGAAGGGAGUAAAGUCAUGAAACAUUGUGUGUGUGUUUGUAUAAAACUGUAUAUUUUUGCUCACAUAUAAUAACUAUAUAUUUCUGCUAAUUUUUCCUUUUAAAGGCUAUUAAGUUACUUAAAAUCCAUUGCCUAAUAAAACUGCAAUUCACCUUUGUAAUUCACUCAUUUGUUUGCUGUCACAGGGAAGAUAGAAAUUGAGCACGUUUUCGGCUGGGUGUGGUGGCUCACGCCUGUAAUCCUAGCACUUGGGGAGGCCGAGGUGGGCGGAUCACGAGGUCAGGAGAUCGAGACCAUCCUGGCUAACAUGGUGAAACCUCGUCUCCACUA
This 2044-nucleotide long non-coding RNA is filed under the name Homo sapiens (human). RNAcentral describes it as "HSALNT0140394". Lineage: Eukaryota; Metazoa; Chordata; Mammalia; Primates; Hominidae. The record is from RNAcentral.